CACGAGGGGCGGCAGAUACUUGUCGAACCCCGCCAGGACCGAGAGGUAGCAACGGUAGGUGAGUUCCUCUGGGUGCCCCUCGCUUGC
This 87-nucleotide signal recognition particle RNA is filed under the name Roseiflexaceae bacterium. RNAcentral describes it as "Bacterial small signal recognition particle RNA". It matches the Rfam family "Bacterial small signal recognition particle RNA". From Rfam's summary of the family: The signal recognition particle (SRP) is a universally conserved ribonucleoprotein involved in the co-translational targeting of proteins to membranes. Archaeal SRP consists of a 7S RNA and homologues of the eukaryotic SRP19 and SRP54 proteins. The record is from Rfam by way of RNAcentral. Lineage: Bacteria; Bacillati; Chloroflexota; Chloroflexia; Chloroflexales; Roseiflexaceae.